Oxyura jamaicensis (ruddy duck) is the source of this 216-nucleotide long non-coding RNA. RefSeq lists it as uncharacterized. The record is from RefSeq and is a predicted model, not a curated record. The transcript is spliced from 3 exons. Lineage: Eukaryota; Metazoa; Chordata; Aves; Anseriformes; Anatidae.
GAACAGGCUGGGAGGAUGGGUACCAGGACAGGAACAAGGACAUGGAUUGCCUCAUGAAGAUAGGUUCGGCCAAACUCAGCAAACCGCUCAAAGAAUCUGGAAUAGAAAGCCGCUGGAAACUGGAGCACCGGAGCUGGAAAGAAGCUCAAGCUGAGAGAAGCAGACCCACGCACACAACUGCCCCUCACUGGCCGAAGGUAAGCAGUUGGACGCUAU